GACGAACGCUGGCGGCGUGCUUAACACAUGCAAGUCGAACGGAAAGGCCCCUUUGGGGGUACUCUAGUGGCGAACGGGUGAGUAACACGUGAGUAACCUGCCCUUGACUUCGGGAUAACUUCAGGAAACUGGGGCUAAUACCGGAUAGGAAUCCUUGCUGCAUGGUGGGGGUUGGAAAGCUUCGGCGGUUUUGGAUGGACUUGCGGGUUAUCAGCUUGUUGGUGGGGUAGUGUCUUACCAAGGCUUUGACGGGUAGCCGGCAUGAGAGGGCGAGCGGCCACAUUGGGACUGAGAUAAGGCCCAGACUCCUAAGGGAGGCAGCAGUGGGGAAUAUUGCACAAUGGGCGGAAGCCUGAUGCAGAAACGCCGCGUGCGGGAUGACGGCCUUAGGGUUGUAAACCGCUUUCAGAAGGGGCGAAGCUUGUGGUGACGGUACCUGAAGAAGAAGCCCCGGCUAACUACGUG
RNAcentral lists this ribosomal RNA (465 nucleotides) under uncultured bacterium. Its description in RNAcentral is "partial 16S ribosomal RNA". It matches the Rfam family "Bacterial small subunit ribosomal RNA", at positions 28 to 507 of the family's 1533-position model. The record is from RNAcentral.